GAGUUGGGAUAACUUCGCGAAAGCGAAGCUAAUACCGGAUACGAUGGUUCAUCGCAUGGUGGAUUAAUCAAAGAUGGGGAGCCGCAAGGUCCUGUCGCUUGAAGAGGAGCCCGCGUCCUAUCAGCUUGUUGGUGAGGUAACGGCUCACCAAGGCUUACGGGUAGCUGGUCUGAGAGGAUGGUCAGCCGCACUGGGACUGAGACACUGCCCAGACUCCUACGGGAGGCUGCAGUCGAGGAUCAUUCGCAAUGGGCGCAAGCCUGACGAUGCGACGCUGCGUGGAGGAUGAAGGCCUUCGGGUCGUAAACUCCUGUCAUUCGGGAACAAUAAACUGGUCAUUAAUACUGGCUGGAAUUGAUAGUACCGGAAGAGGAAGCCACGGCUAACUCUGUGCCAGCAGCCGCGGUAAUACAGAGGUGGCGAGCGUUGUUCGGAUUUACUGGGCGUAAAGGGUGCGUAGGUGGCUUUGUGUGUCGGGCGUGAAAGCCCACUGCUCAACGGUGGAAUGCCGUCCGAAACUACAAAGCUUGAGUGCAGGAGAGGAGAGCGGAAUACUUGGUGUAGCGGUGGAAUGCGUUGAGAUCAAGUAGAACACCGGUGGCGUAGGCGGCUCUCUGGAAUGCAACUGACACUGAGGCACGAAAGUUGGGGGAGCAAACAGGAUUAGAUACCCUGGUAGUCCCAACCUUAAACGGUGUACACUUGGUGUAGGAGGAAUUGACCCCUUCUGUGCCGGAGCUAACGCGUUAAGUGUACCGCCUGGGGAGUACGGUCGCAAGAUUAAAACUCAAAGAAAUUGACGGGGGCCCGCACAAGCGGAGGAGCAUGUGGCUUAAUUCGAUGCAACGCGAAGAACCUUACCAGGGCUUGACAUGCAGCUGCACGUCCCAUGAAAGUGGGAUUCCUUCGAGGGUGCUGCACAGGUGCUGCAUGGCUGUCGUCAGUUCGUGCCGUGAGGUGUUGGGUUAAGUCCCGCAACGAACGCAACCCCUAUAUUUAGUUGCCAGUGCCGGAAACGGUACGCACUCUAAAUAGACUGCCCGUGAUAAGCGGGAGGAAGGUGGGAUGACGUCAAGUCAGUAUGGCCUUUAUGCCCUGGGCUGCACACGUGCUACAAUGGUCGGUACAGAGGGAAGCAAGACCGCGAGGUGGAGCAAAUCCCAUAAAACCGGCCCCAGUUCAGAUUGAAGGCUGCAACUCGCCUUCAUGAAGUUGGAUUCGCUAGUAACGGCGCAUCAGCUACGGCGCCGUGAAUACGUUCCCGGGCCUUGUACACACCGCCCGUCACAUCAUGAAAGCCGUCUGCACCCGACGUCGCUGCUCCAACCUGCAAGGGGGGAAGGCGCCUAAGGUGUGGGUGGUGAUUGGGAUGAAGUCGUAACAAGGUA
RNAcentral lists this ribosomal RNA (1388 nucleotides) under metagenome. RNAcentral's name for it is "bacterial SSU rRNA". It matches the Rfam family "Bacterial small subunit ribosomal RNA", at positions 134 to 1498 of the family's 1533-position model. The record is from RNAcentral.